CUACUUACCCCGCGGGGGAGAUACCAUGGGUCAGAAGGUUUGGGUUUACCAGGGCGAGGGUCGCCAUUGCACUUCGGUCUGGGUGACCCCUGCGAUUCCCAAUGUGGGAAUCUCGCCGCAUAAUUUUGUUAGGGGGGACUGGGGUUCGCGCUCUCCCCCC
This is a small nuclear RNA of Anguilla rostrata (American eel), 160 nucleotides long. RefSeq annotates it as U1 spliceosomal RNA. NCBI's taxonomy places the organism in Eukaryota, Metazoa, Chordata, Actinopteri, Anguilliformes, Anguillidae. The record is from RefSeq and is a predicted model, not a curated record. The transcript has a single exon.